This 406-nucleotide unclassified non-coding RNA is filed under the name soil metagenome. Its description in RNAcentral is "partial contains 5.8S ribosomal RNA, internal transcribed spacer 2, and large subunit ribosomal RNA". The stretch from base 2 to 121 matches the Rfam family "5.8S ribosomal RNA", at positions 36 to 154 of the family's 154-position model. The record is from RNAcentral.
UAUGAAGAACGCAGCGAAAUGCGAUAAGUAAUGUGAAUUGCAGAAUUCAGUGAAUCAUCGAAUCUUUGAACGCACCUUGCGCCCUUUGGCCAUUCCGAAGGGCAUGCCUGUUUGAGUAUCAUGAACACCUCAACUCUUCAUGGUUUUCCAUGAUGAGCUUGGACUUUGGGGGUCUUGCUGGCCUGUGGGUCGGCUCCUCUCAAAUGAAUCAGCUUGCCGGUUUUUGGUGGGCAUCACAGGUGUGAUAACUAUCUACGCUUGUGGUUUUCCACCAGGGUAACCUUCAGCAGUGGAGGUUCACUGGAGCUUACAAAUGUCUCUCCUCUGUGAGGACAGCCCUUUGAAUGUUUGAUCUCAAAUCAGGUAGGACUACCCGCUGAACUUAAGCAUAUCAAUAAGCGGAGGA